UCCCCGUGUCCCCUGAAUCCAAACUGAACUCAGCCGCCUGCUCAUUUCCUCAAGGGAGAGAUGUAACUGGGGAUAAAGUAGGAAUAACCUUUGGGGCUUUAUUUUCAGAAGUCAAAAGCACAUUACGUGGGGUGAUAUCCAAGAGUAUAGGUGUCAGGAAGUGAAGAAGACGCAGAAUGGCUUGAUUUGUGUGACCGUGGAGCCAGACGGCUCGUGAGAGAAACGGCUGAUUUCAGGCCCGGAGCAGGAAAUGGCCAAGCAUAUACACGUCUUACCUGAAGAAAUAAAAUGGAUUUACUUGGAAUCAAGGGCUUCACCUUGAGCUGAGUUGCCAAGCAGAAUGCAAGACUUCGGAGGGGCCUCAGCUGGGUGGUGCAUUCCAGCAAGAGAGAUCACAGAAUCGUCCAUCCUCAUGUCACAGCAGUGGGCCCUGGACUCACACACUGCCUGAUCCCCAGCUGAUAUCUACUUACUCCUCAAACCUCAAC
This is a non-coding RNA of Manis javanica (Malayan pangolin), 488 nucleotides long. NCBI's taxonomy places the organism in Eukaryota, Metazoa, Chordata, Mammalia, Pholidota, Manidae. The record is from RefSeq and is a predicted model, not a curated record.